AGAUGUAUUUAUUUAUUUAUACAGGCACUGGGUACAGUCAGAAGCACAGGAGAGUGAGAGAAUUCACCAGAACCAGAGCGGGGAGGAGAACAGGAAGACUGAGGAAGUACACUGCUGAGGGGAGCAGCGGGUGGCAGGAGAGGUCUGCGCACCAUGUGGGACCCUUCUGGCAGCUGGGGAUCAAACCAGCACCGCACCAUGUGGGACCCUUCUGGCAGCUGGGGAUCAAACCAGCACCGUGGAGGCUGCGGGCAGCUUCACAACCCAGCACUCAACUGCUGUGCCACCAGGGGAGGCCCACAAAGGAGACUAUUUUACAAUAAUAUACACAUUCAUUUCACAAAGCAAAAGGAAAGUAAGAGGGCUCAUUUGCAUGUCUGGACCUGGGAUUUCUUGCAUAGCACUCCAACAAUACACAAGAGUCUUGCCAAGUCCCCAUACCAAAAGCUUUCCCUAUGGUCCUUGAGCCCCAGAAAAUGGGUGAUCUUGGCUCUCUUUUCCUUAUAUAAUAAAUUUCUUCUUUUCUGGAUUUAUUGGACUGCUUUCUAUGGAAAUUUUCAUCUUUCUCCAAUUUCUCUCUCUCUAGUCUAUAGGUAGAGUGUACCAAUGAUGUUCCUGAUGCUGGUUUUCAUGGAAGUCUUGUAGAGUUAUCCUUUCAGAACGCUCAGGUAACUGCACCAGGAUGAAGUCCAGAUCCCAGCACCUCUUAACAAGUUUCUGUCAUGGACCGUGCAUAUGUGGGGAUGGACCCAGCUUACAUUUCUGGAGGACUGUGGUGGAAUGAGAGGAUGAAAUAAUGCAUUCAGAAUAGAGAUAAAAUAUACGGGUCACAAAUAUCCUAACCUGCAGGAUUCUCCUACAGAGACAAGAGAGUAGAAAUGUUCUUCCCAAACAAAAGCUGAAGAAGUGGAACACUAACAAAUCUUCCCUGAAAGAAAAGUUUAAAAGAGAUCCCUUGUAUAAUUUAAAGAGAAAAGAAAAAAAAGAAAAAAGAAAAAGCUGAGCAGGGAAGUAGAACCAGACAACUAAAGUCAAAGUGGCAGUAGAAGAUCCUCUAUAGAGCUCACCAAUCCAAAGGCAGAGAGAGGACAGCCAAGAUUGCACAGUCCCCAGGAGACCCGUCUGAGCCCCCAAAAUAAACACAGGCUCCUGGCUCAAGGCUGAAUAUUACACCAAACCCCGGAACAGGCUCAGGGAUGUCAGAGUCUGGGCCAAAGUGUAUUGUGCUGCACCAUGAUGUGGAGCCGAGAGCCUUCAUUUUUCUCACAAUGUAUUUUGAAUAGCAGCUGCUUUGUAAUGUGUACAAUAGGAUCCAUUUCCGGAUCUGCAGAUGGAACUCGUGCAGCAGAGGCUUCACAGUGCUGUGCUUAAUCCCUGCGCCAUCAGAGAGGCCCCACGCCUUGCUUUUAUGUCAGCUUCAGGGUCUGGCUGCGGCAGACACUGUUGGUGAAAGGCUGGGAGUCCUGGAGCUUGCAACAGACCUACCUGUGCCUUCUGCCCCAGCCCGCCUGCCCCAGCCCACUGUGACCUGCUCAUUAGCUGGAGUUAUGUUGGGACAAGGCCUGGGGGUAGACUAAAAGUUUCAGGGAGUGACUGGCCAGGAGCCUGACUUGUGCCCCCCAGAUGACCAGGUGAGCUCUUAGAAGUCUCCUGCUUCUCUACUCCCUGCUUGCUUCAAGUUGCAAAUGUGUCCCUGCUGGGGCCAUGGGUACUCUGUCGCCCAAUGGCUCAGGGCUCGGACUUUGGAAAAAGAUCACCUCUGGGCCUGUGGGAUAAAUAAAGAUGAAAAUUUUCCAUAACCUCUCACAAUCUAAAAAUCAAAAGGUAGAUGAUCCUAACUCUAAAUGCAAAUAAAGCGAGAUGUGUUAAGAAUUGUAUUUAAAACAGGGCCUCCCCUGGUGGCUUAGGCGGUUGAGCGCAGAGCUGUGAAGCUGUCUACAGCCUCUGCAGCGCCAGUUCGAUCCCGGCUGGCCAGAGAAGGUUCCACAUGGCACAGCAGACCUCUCGUGUCAUGCCCGCUGCUCCCCUCAGCAGUGCAUUUCAGUCAGUCAGUCUGCCUGUUCUGUUCCCCACUCUGUUGCUGGUGAAUCCUCUCACCCCCCACAUCUCUGGCCUGUACCCCAGUUCCUGUGUGCAUAAAUAAAUAAAUCUUAAAAGAUUAUUUAUGCACUCAAGAACUGGGUUGUAAGCCAGACAUGGUAGUUGUGUUUGAGAGGAUUCACCAGAGACAGAGUUGGGGGCAGAACAGACAAACUGACUGAAACACACUGCUGAGGGGAGCAGCAGGCAUGACAC
Molecule: long non-coding RNA, 2295 nt
Organism: Talpa occidentalis (Iberian mole)
Lineage: Eukaryota; Metazoa; Chordata; Mammalia; Eulipotyphla; Talpidae
Exons: 3
Source: RefSeq, a predicted model, not a curated record